This 1017-nucleotide ribosomal RNA is filed under the name Triticum aestivum (bread wheat). RNAcentral describes it as "partial small subunit ribosomal RNA". The record is from RNAcentral. Lineage: Eukaryota; Viridiplantae; Streptophyta; Magnoliopsida; Poales; Poaceae.
AUGCCAGAUUUCCACAUGCAACCUCCUCCGUCUACCGGCUCCGCCCAUAGCCCUACCACCACCCGUCGUCCUUUACGCCACCAGACGAAGCCCGAGCUAUUCCCCAACUCCAGCUCGUGCAUUCUCCAAAUCCCAGAGCUCCUAAAUCCAGACUGCCAAAAGAGUACAGAGAUACAGCGGUUUACCAGUGACCGAGGUGCUGUGCGCGCGGAAAAGAAGGUGAUGCUUGACGGAGGCGAUGCGGAAAAGCAGGGCGCUGUUGAACGGAGGCGAGUCGUCGGAGUCGAUAUCUUCAUGGCCGUCACGCCAGGUCUUGUCAGCCGUCGCCGUUCUCCCGCCACCGGUCCUGGUCGCGGUCGCUGUGCCGUGCAUCAGCUACCACGCAUGCGCCGCGUCGAGGUCGCUGCUGCUCGGCCACCAAGUCUGGGCUGCAGUUGCAUAUCCACUGAUUGGCGUGAGAAGAUGCGGUGGAGCGAGGGUAAGGAGAUGGCAUUACCUGGGCCGUCGUUCGUCGCUGCUAUUGAUGCGGCACUCCUGUUCGUCGCCCCUGCCACAUCGAGCACCUCAUGGACUCGGGGUUGUGAGGAGGUCCGAUUUUUCCUUCACGGGCACAAGUUACGUACGAGGCUGGAGAGGUCGAACCACGAGGGGAGGUCGAACCAUCACGACCUUGAAUGUAUUUCCUGUGGUUACACAUGGUUUUCGUCAAGAGAUGCCAUCUCAUCGCUGACGGUCGAUACUCCAAGUUCUGGUGGGAAUGUAGGCACCGCUCCCUGGGCAACAGCAAAGUUUGAUGUCCUUCAGAAGCAGCUGGUGAGCCCUCGGGAUCAGCCAGACAAUAAGGCAAGUGCUGAUGCUCUCCAGAAGAACACGGUGGCGUCCAUUCCUAAACUUGAGAGGCAGAAAUCAUUCAUCAAACCGAAGCCAGAGGAGCCCUCUGCACCCACACUGGAGAAACAGAAGGCGUUCACCAAGCCAAAGCCGGAGGAACCCUCUGCACCUUCGGCUAGUCAUUAG